GGUAUAUCGGCGUGAUUUUUUUUUCUUUUUGAUGACAUUUUUUACUUUUGUUUUCUGCCCUAUAGACAUGCGGGAUUUGAAGAUUAAUCAUGCUACUUUAAAAUGUGCAAUAUUUAUUGAAAAUGGAAACCAUAAAAAACAUCAAGCAAGUUCGUGAAAAUCUAACAUGAUACGACAAACUUUUCGUGUGCAUACACAAAGUAUGAAAAAUGAUUUUUUUUGUUGAAGCUGAAUUUCAUGUACAAUUUGGA
This is a long non-coding RNA of Dermatophagoides farinae (American house dust mite), 251 nucleotides long. RefSeq lists it as uncharacterized. The record is from RefSeq and is a predicted model, not a curated record. NCBI's taxonomy places the organism in Eukaryota, Metazoa, Arthropoda, Arachnida, Sarcoptiformes, Pyroglyphidae.